ACUUAAAUUGAAGAGUUUGAUCAUGGCUCAGAUUGAACGCUGGCGGCAGGCCUAACACAUGCAAGUCGAGCGGUAGCACAGAGAGCUUGCUCUCGGUUG
This 99-nucleotide ribosomal RNA is filed under the name Klebsiella pneumoniae. RNAcentral describes it as "partial 16S ribosomal RNA". It matches the Rfam family "Bacterial small subunit ribosomal RNA", at positions 1 to 92 of the family's 1533-position model. Lineage: Bacteria; Pseudomonadati; Pseudomonadota; Gammaproteobacteria; Enterobacterales; Enterobacteriaceae. The record is from RNAcentral.